This 253-nucleotide ribosomal RNA is filed under the name uncultured bacterium. RNAcentral's name for it is "partial 16S ribosomal RNA". It matches the Rfam family "Bacterial small subunit ribosomal RNA", at positions 524 to 776 of the family's 1533-position model. The record is from RNAcentral.
UACAGAGGGGGCAAGCGUUGUUCGGAAUUACUGGGCGUAAAGGGCGCGUAGGCGGCCUUCUAAGUCGAACGUGAAAUCCCCGGGCUCAACCCGGGAACUGCGUCCGAUACUGGAAGGCUUGAAUCCGGGAGAGGGAUGCGGAAUUCCAGGUGUAGCGGUGAAAUGCGUAGAUAUCUGGAGGAACACCGGUGGCGAAGGCGGCAUCCUGGACCGGCAUUGACACUGAGGCGCGAAAGCCAGGGGAGCAAACGGG